Lactuca sativa (garden lettuce) is the source of this 3397-nucleotide non-coding RNA. Lineage: Eukaryota; Viridiplantae; Streptophyta; Magnoliopsida; Asterales; Asteraceae. The record is from RefSeq and is a predicted model, not a curated record.
UGGAAAAUUCUAGUAUUCAUGUCCCGCUCCUAAUUCCCUCCAUGGUUAAAAGGCAGACCGCCAUUUUUUUUGGUGAAAUCAAAUUGGCUCAAAAGGAACAGAACAGAGAACUCUUCUUUUCAUCCUCACCGCCACUUCUCCAACCCUCUCUCCUUCUCUCCUCAACCCGAUGAUCACUGGAGCACCACUGUCAAACCUUUUCACCAACAUUCCUUAAACACCAAAUUUUUCUUAUAUGAAUCAACCGUAUAUAAACCUCUAACCAAAUACCAAGGCUUUAUCUUCUAACAAAUCAGAUCUGAUGUAUGAUAUAUUUCGGAGGUCAAUCAGGUGAUAACGUACACAAUCAUUACAGCAUCCUCGGAAGCAGUACUGUAUGUGUGGCUAUUGAAUUUAAGGAUAUGGGCGAUGAAGGUCCAUCAACUAUAUUCUGAUAAAAAUAAAGUGCACUAACGAGGUUAAAAUUCUUUAAAGCCGUUAAACUGAAAAAAAAAAACACUCUUCCCUUACCUUUUUCUUCAUUUGUAAAGAGAAUAAGAUUGGACUGGAACUUUUACAGGUGCGUCUCAAAUCCAAUUUCCCAUUAAUUCUUUUUAUUAGAAAUUGUAACUAAUUUGGAAGGAUGGCGGUGAUAUCGGGAAUAGGGAUGUGUUCUACAUGAUCUGUAUUUUUUUUAGUAGGGGUUUCUUCUUUGCUUUUGAUAUGUUUUUUGUGGGAUGAUGGAACAUGGCACACCAGGUGUUCGACAUAUUGUCCAUGAGGUUCUUUUGGCGCAUUAGACAUCCAAUUUCAUUUUCUUCUCUUUCUAUACAGGAGAUUCAACCAAGUCUUUGAUUGUUUAAGAUUUUUAAGUUUAUGUUCUUUUAUAUAUGUAGUAUUAAACUAAACUGUAGAUACACAUACCCCCACCUGAUGGAAAUAUGUUGACUAACGUCUUAGAUUGGAUUAACAUAUAAUUUUACAAAGACAAUGUAAUUUUUCAGGAUGUGUGUAUGUUGCUUGUUCUAGUGUUGUGACCAAUAGUUAAUUCAUAGAUGCAAUAUGAUGAAGAUGACAAUGAAAAAGAUUAUGGUCUAAGAGGGAAAGCUUGGGAGCUUGUUGAUCCCAAAAGUACCCAAACAUCCGUCUCAGUUUAGGUGAUUGUAAAACUUUUCAUUCUAAAAAAUAGAGUCCACACAUGACAGAAAUGUACUUUGUUAAUUCUAAAUACAAACAUAGAAUUUACAUUAUGAAAUUAAUUUGGUUGUUAUUGCAGUGUGGAUGAAGUACCAGUAUUGACAAGCAUGGCAAUCAGGUAAUAAAUUGUAAGCAAUUAAAUAUUAUUGUGGUUUGAAAUUGAUAUAUGAUUAUCAUAGUUUUUCGUAAUAAGAACAAUAUCAAUUUUAUUUAUAAAGACAAAAAUAAAAACAAGAAAAUAGAUAGGAAAUGAUUGAACUUUUAUUUUGUAAAGACAUCAUGCAUAAUUCUUAGAGCAUUACUGGUUAGCUUAUCAAAGGCCUUAUGUUUUGUACAUUAGCUUUUCUAAAAAAAAAAUUUUAAAAUUAAAUAAUUGAUGUCCAUGUAUAUAAAAUAUUUUAUAAAUCUUUUUCUUACAUUUCAAUGGAGUUAAAUACUUGGGGUAGAGUAUCUUUGUCCUCCUCACGUUUGAGUAACUUGGCAUGGUUUUAAAUAGUUGAUGUUCAUCUAAAUAAAAUGUUUUAUAUAUUAAGAAACCUAUUGUUCUGUGUUUUGAUUUGACUGUUAAACCUCACUAAAUUUGUCUAGACAUUAUAUUAUUACUAAUAUUCAAUCAAAUUAAAUAUAUUCCAAUAGUCGUUGAUUACUUUUAUCCAUUAUUUUAAUCAUGGGUAAAUGGCACAAAAAACACUAUUUUUACACAUAAAUUCGAUUUUGACACCGUGUUAUUUUUUGUGUCAAUUUUGACACUGUGUUUUCCAAUUCGUUACAAUUCUGACCACAUGACCGGUUAAUCAGGUUACAUGCUGACGUGGCAUGAUGAUGGUCAGUUUUGAUGACGUGGCAUGCUGACAUGAUAUGCUGACGUGUCAAAAUUGAAUUUUUUUCUCACAAAAAACACUAAGUUUUUUUUUUUUUUUUCGAUUUUGACACUAUGUUUAAUUUUUUCUUUCAACUUUGACACUAUGUUUUUUUGUUCCAAAUCGAACAUCAUUUUUCCAAUUUUGUUCAAUGUUGACAAUUUUCUAUUUGAAACCGUAAAAAUAUUUUUUUAAUACAUUUAAACCGUAUAAAUAUGUUUUUUUUUUCAUUUAAAAACCAUAGUUUUGUAUAAAUACAUUUUUUUUUACACUCAAACCAUAUUUUUAUGUAUAAAUAUGUAUUAACUAUAUAAAAAUUGUAUUUUAUAUUAAUAUGCAACUUUAAAAUGUGUUUGAAGGUUUAUAGGCGUGUAGUUGAUCAAAAUUUGGAUAUCAAGUUUGCAACCCAUCAAAUUUUUACAUCUUAUUAGAAGCUUAUGGUUAGUUUGAUUCUCAUGAUAUAACUAAUGCUUUGAAUGUAAGAAAAAAAAAACACCUUGUAUUUAAAUAAAAAUGUGGUUUUUAAACGAAAAGAAUAUGUUAUACGGUUUAAAAUGUAAUAAAAAAAAUAUAUUUGUACGGUUUCAAAUGAAAAAUAGACAAAAUUGAACAAAAUUCGAUAAAUGAUGUUCGAUUGGAACAAAAAAAACAUAGUGUCAAAAUUGAAAUAAAAAAUUAAACUUAGUGUCAAAAUCAAAAAAAAGUGAAAACUUAGUGUUUUUUGUGGAAAAAAAUCAAUUUUGACACGUCAGCAUGCCACGUCAUCAAAACUGACACGUCAUCAUGCCACGUCAGCAUGUAACCUGGUUAACCGGUCAAGUGGUCAGAAUUGUAACGAAUUGGAUAACACAGUGUCAAAAUUGACACAAAAAAUAACACGGUGUCAAAAUCGAAUUUCUGUGUAAAAAUAGUGUUUUUUGUGCCAUUUACCCUUUAAUCAUAUAUAAAACUUAUAAAUUGGAUUUUUAUGUUUUAUCAAUUUUCAAAUAUUGAAGUGUUUUUUUGCUGAUUUUGUAUUCUUGAUUUGAUUUGACUUUUGUGAUUUCGUACAUGUUUAUAGAGUUUUCCCUUUUAAACAUGCUACACAACACUGUGCAACUCGCGAAGCGUAGAUAUGAGGCAAUGUUAACCAUCCGAACUCUUUGCGUAGAAGAAAAACUUAAGACGAACAAUUAUACAAAGUUUGAGGUUGAUAGUUCUUCUUUCCCAACAAGUAUUUAGUUUAGUAGGAUUAUGUUUUGAGUACUAGCACUAACAUGUAUACUUCUUACACAUCUUUGAAGAUAUUUGUAUUUUAAAUAUUAAGAAUAUUGUUGACAGAUAAGUUUGAAUUGAAGUAAUGAUAUUGUAUUUUUUGUUUA